Molecule: non-coding RNA, 1011 nt
Organism: Microcebus murinus (gray mouse lemur)
Lineage: Eukaryota; Metazoa; Chordata; Mammalia; Primates; Cheirogaleidae
Source: RefSeq, a predicted model, not a curated record
CCUAAAGUGACAUCCCAUUGAAAUUCAUUUGAGUUCUAUAAUUUUUAUUCAAAAGAGCAAUAAGCCUUAGCCCAAAGAGGCCAGAAGUGCAAUAUCAAGAUGUUGGCAGUGACUUGUUCCCUCCAAAGGCACAAGAAGAGAAUGUGGCCUUGAAUCUUCCAGAUAUUUCCACAGAGACUUCUACCUUCAGCAACCACCAACCUGGUCAGUUAGCAGCCAUUGACAUCAAGAAACUCUGACAGCUUAGACUGAAAGGGACAGAGAUAAGAAGAAAUGAAGAAAGAAUGAUUACAAGAACAGCACCACAGAAAUAAAGGCCAGAGAAGAUGGGGCCACUUUUACAGAGGCUCUGCUUCUUAGAGUGACUAAAACUGUUUACAGUGUAUUUUGUUUCAUGAGUCCCCCACUAAGCAGGCAAUGGACACUGUAAAACCUAGGAGCCUGAACUGAAAAAAAGGAGGAGCGCACGCCUGUGAACCAAAGUCUGGAAAUCAGAAGUCUGAAAUCAGUUUCACUGAGCCAAUAUCAAAGUGCCAGCAAGUCUGCACUGCCCCCGGAGGGCUCUAGGGCAGAGUCAGUUCUCUUGUCUUCCAGCCUCUGAACCUGUGGCUCAUGACUUCUUCCCACAUCAAAACCAGCAGAGGAGCAUCUCUUUCUGACUCUGCCUCCCUCUGCCUCCUCUGCUUCCAUCUACUUCGAUCACAUGGACUUCCUGUCUGUGUCAAAUUCUUCUCUGCCUUCUCUCUCCUUAUAAAGGCAUCUGCGACUGCAUCUAGGAUCUACCUGGAUAAGACAGAAAAAUCUCCGCAUCUCAAGAUCCUUAAUCAUAUCUAAAAGUUCUAUAAGGACAGAAGUACAAGGCCCUUCAUCUGCUGCUUAAAAAACCACUUGCCAAGCACCACCAGCUCAACAAGCACAAGGAGAACCUGAAGACUAAGAAGCAGCAGUGGAAGGAAUGGCUAGAUCCACUGUGGAAGUCCUCAGUUUCAUGGUGUCAAUAAAAACACAAAA